GGGUUGUGAGGUUAAGCGACUAAGCGUACACGGUGGAUGCCCUGGCAGUCAGAGGCGAUGAAGGACGUGCUAAUCUGCGAAAAGCGCCGGCGAGGUGAUAUGAACCCUUGACCCGGCGAUGUCCGAAUGGGGAAACCCAGUGCAAUCCGUUGCACUAUCGUUAACUGAAUACAUAGGUUAACGAGGCGAACCGGGGGAACUGAAACAUCUAAGUACCCCGAGGAAAAGAAAUCAACCGAGAUUCCCCCAGUAGCGGCGAGCGAACGGGGAGCAGCCCGGAGUCUGAAUCAGCUUGUGUGUUAGUGGAACGGUCUGGAAAGUCCGACGGUACAGGGUGAUAGUCCCGUACACGAAAAUGCACAUGCUGUGAACUCGAAGAGUAGGGCGGGACACGUGGUAUCCUGUCUGAAUAUGGGGGGACCAUCCUCCAAGGCUAAAUACUCCUGACUGACCGAUAGUGAACCAGUACCGUGAGGGAAAGGCGAAAAGAACCCCGGCGAGGGGAGUGAAAAAGAACCUGAAACCGUGUACGUACAAGCAGUGGGAGCCUCUUUAUGGGGUGACUGCGUACCUUUUGUAUAAUGGGUCAGCGACUUAUAUUCUGUAGCAAGGUUAACCGUAUAGGGGAGCCGAAGGGAAACCGAGUCUUAACUGGGCGUUAAGUUGCAGGGUAUAGACCCGAAACCCGGUGAUCUAGCCAUGGGCAGGUUGAAGGUUGGGUAACACUAACUGGAGGACCGAACCGACUAAUGUUGAAAAAUUAGCGGAUGACCUGUGGCUGGGGGUGAAAGGCCAAUCAAACCGGGAGAUAGCUGGUUCUCCCCGAAAGCUAUUUAGGUAGCGCCUCGUGAAUUCAUCUUCGGGGGUAGAGCACUGUUUCGGCUAGGGGGCCAUCCCGGCUUACCAACCCGAUGCAAACUACGAAUACCGAAGAAUGUUAUCACGGGAGACACACGGCGGGUGCUAACGUCCGUCGUGAAGAGGGAAACAACCCAGACCGCCAGCUAAGGUCCCAAAGUCAUGGUUAAGUGGGAAACGAUGUGGGAAGGCACAGACAGCCAGGAUGUUGGCUUAGAAGCAGCCAUCAUUUAAAGAAAGCGUAAUAGCUCACUGGUCGAGUCGGCCUGCGCGGAAGAUGUAACGGGGCUAAACCAUGCACCGAAGCUGCGGCAGCGACACUAUGUGUUGUUGGGUAGGGGAGCGUUCUGUAAGCCGUUGAAGGUGUGCUGUGAGGCAUGCUGGAGGUAUCAGAAGUGCGAAUGCUGACAUAAGUAACGAUAAAGCGGGUGAAAAGCCCGCUCGCCGGAAGACCAAGGGUUCCUGUCCAACGUUAAUCGGGGCAGGGUGAGUCGACCCCUAAGGCGAGGCCGAAAGGCGUAGUCGAUGGGAAACAGGUUAAUAUUCCUGUACUUGGUGUUACUGCGAAGGGGGGACGGAGAAGGCUAUGUCAGCCGGGCGACGGUUGUCCCGGUUUAAGCAUGUAGGCGGAGGUUCCAGGUAAAUCCGGUACCUUUUAACGCUGAGGUGUGAUGACGAGGCACUACGGUGCUGAAGUGAUAAAUGCCCUGCUUCCAGGAAAAGCCUCUAAGCAUCAGGUAACACGAAAUCGUACCCCAAACCGACACAGGUGGUCAGGUAGAGAAUACCAAGGCGCUUGAGAGAACUCGGGUGAAGGAACUAGGCAAAAUGGUGCCGUAACUUCGGGAGAAGGCACGCUGAUGUGUAGGUGAAGCCCCUGCGGGCGGAGCUGAAAUCAGUCGAAGAUACCAGCUGGCUGCAACUGUUUAUUAAAAACACAGCACUGUGCAAACACGAAAGUGGACGUAUACGGUGUGACGCCUGCCCGGUGCCGGAAGGUUAAUUGAUGGGGUUAGCGGCAACGCGAAGCUCUUGAUCGAAGCCCCGGUAAACGGCGGCCGUAACUAUAACGGUCCUAAGGUAGCGAAAUUCCUUGUCGGGUAAGUUCCGACCUGCACGAAUGGCGUAAUGAUGGCCAGGCUGUCUCCACCCGAGACUCAGUGAAAUUGAACUCGCUGUGAAGAUGCAGUGUACCCGCGGCAAGACGGAAAGACCCCGUGAACCUUUACUAUAGCUUGACACUGAACACUGGUCCUUGAUGUGUAGGAUAGGUGGGAGGCUUUGAAGCGUGGACGCCAGUCUGCGUGGAGCCAACCUUGAAAUACCACCCUUUAAUGGCUGGUGUUCUAACGU
RNAcentral lists this ribosomal RNA (2211 nucleotides) under Enterobacter hormaechei subsp. steigerwaltii. RNAcentral describes it as "bacterial LSU rRNA". It matches the Rfam family "Bacterial large subunit ribosomal RNA", at positions 1 to 2228 of the family's 2925-position model. The record is from RNAcentral. Lineage: Bacteria; Pseudomonadati; Pseudomonadota; Gammaproteobacteria; Enterobacterales; Enterobacteriaceae.